UUUCAGAAAAGACACAUGAUGCUGAAAAGACAAAUUCUUGGCAAAAAGUCCAUGUCAAGACAUUAAACAUUAUAAUCAAGAAGUCAAGAACAAUGAAUCAGAGCAAACAUAUAUGCACAGUUUAAACUUUAAAAUCCCCAAUUUAAUUAAAAGUAAGAUAACAAACAAACAUAAUUUGUGCAAAAUUAGAAACGCGACCACAAACCCAUUAAAAAUUUUACGUUUUCAACUUCGAAUUCAGUAUGCAUUAUAUCAAUUUCAUAGAAAUUUCCAGCUACACACUUAUAACAGAACCCAUAUAUCUUUUGCCGUUUAAAAUGUAGGUACAAAAAGAUUAUAGAUAUAGAGUGAAAUACGUGAAGCGUGGACAAGCGUUUGAGAGAUUGAGGAAGUGAGAGAGAAGAGAGCGACCCAUCUUCUUGUUGGUUGAUGAUGAUACUGU
This 442-nucleotide long non-coding RNA is filed under the name Helianthus annuus (common sunflower). RNAcentral describes it as "hypothetical non coding rna". The record is from RNAcentral. Lineage: Eukaryota; Viridiplantae; Streptophyta; Magnoliopsida; Asterales; Asteraceae.